UGUUACAAACCUGGUGGCCAAAUGAUUC
RNAcentral lists this non-coding RNA (28 nucleotides) under Mus musculus (house mouse). The record is from RNAcentral. Lineage: Eukaryota; Metazoa; Chordata; Mammalia; Rodentia; Muridae.